CUGGUUUGCCAUUGUCAAUCGGUUGUUAUCACCACAUUGGGCUAUGGAAUAGUUUGGAAAGAGCAACUAAAAAUCGCAAAAGCUUCCCACUUUUUCUACAAAGCCCAAUCGAAUGGUACUAACUCUUUCCUUUGGUUUUGUUUUACAGAUGACUCCCAAACGCACAAAGCAGCAUCUAGAAUCAAGCCACCAUACACUCAGGGUGAACCAGAGGAUUACACUGUUCCCUUUUCUUACCCAUCGACAUGGGAAGAGGGAACCGAGAUCUCCAUCACAGACGAGAACAUCCCUAAGAAAUCGGAGACAAGAUGGGAUAAAGAAGCCUCACGCCGCUACAACACUCUGCUCAACACCAACAUCUUCCCGACCCAUUUCGUCGACGCCGGGGCCUUGAGUGAUUUAGGCCUCCAUAAGGACUUACAUGCGGUUCUCCAAAUGUUGGGAA
RNAcentral lists this long non-coding RNA (445 nucleotides) under Brassica napus (rape). Its description in RNAcentral is "long non-coding RNA (BNAP_LNC011453)". Lineage: Eukaryota; Viridiplantae; Streptophyta; Magnoliopsida; Brassicales; Brassicaceae. The record is from RNAcentral.